RNAcentral lists this ribosomal RNA (758 nucleotides) under Streptomyces sp. Its description in RNAcentral is "bacterial SSU rRNA". It matches the Rfam family "Bacterial small subunit ribosomal RNA", at positions 150 to 920 of the family's 1533-position model. Lineage: Bacteria; Bacillati; Actinomycetota; Actinomycetes; Kitasatosporales; Streptomycetaceae. The record is from RNAcentral.
CUGGAAACGGGGUCUAAUACCGGAUACGACUACUGAGGGCAUCCUUGGUGGUGGAAAGCUCCGGCGGUGAAGGAUGAGCCCGCGGCCUAUCAGCUUGUUGGUGGGGUGAUGGCCUACCAAGGCGACGACGGGUAGCCGGCCUGAGAGGGCGACCGGCCACACUGGGACUGAGACACGGCCCAGACUCCUACGGGAGGCAGCAGUGGGGAAUAUUGCACAAUGGGCGAAAGCCUGAUGCAGCGACGCCGCGUGAGGGAUGACGGCCUUCGGGUUGUAAACCUCUUUCAGCAGGGAAGAAGCGAAAGUGACGGUACCUGCAGAAGAAGCGCCGGCUAACUACGUGCCAGCAGCCGCGGUAAUACGUAGGGCGCAAGCGUUGUCCGGAAUUAUUGGGCGUAAAGAGCUCGUAGGCGGCUUGUCACGUCGGAUGUGAAAGCCCGGGGCUUAACCCCGGGUCUGCAUUCGAUACGGGCUAGCUAGAGUGUGGUAGGGGAGAUCGGAAUUCCUGGUGUAGCGGUGAAAUGCGCAGAUAUCAGGAGGAACACCGGUGGCGAAGGCGGAUCUCUGGGCCAUUACUGACGCUGAGGAGCGAAAGCGUGGGGAGCGAACAGGAUUAGAUACCCUGGUAGUCCACGCCGUAAACGUUGGGAACUAGGUGUUGGCGACAUUCCACGUCGUCGGUGCCGCAGCUAACGCAUUAAGUUCCCCGCCUGGGGAGUACGGCCGCAAGGCUAAAACUCAAAGGAAUUGACGGGGGC